Molecule: ribosomal RNA, 540 nt
Filed under: uncultured organism
Description: bacterial SSU rRNA
Rfam family: Archaeal small subunit ribosomal RNA
Source: RNAcentral
CGAGUGGUUUCUGCUAAAGAAAUCUUUUGCUAGUCCUAGAAACACUAGUGAAUAAGGGGUGGGCAAGUUCUGGUGUCAGCCGCCGCGGUAAAACCAGCACCUCAAGUGGUCAGGAUGAUUAUUGGGCCUAAAGCAUCCGUAGCCGGCUGUAUUAGUUUUCGGUUAAAUCCAUGCGCUCAACGUAUGGGCUGCCGGGAAUACUGUACAGCUAGGGAGUGGGAGAGGUAGACGGUACUCGGUAGGAAGGGGUAAAAUCCUUUGAUCUAUUGAUGACCACCUGUGGCGAAGGCGGUCUACUAGAACACGUCCGACGGUGAGGGAUGAAAGCUGGGGGAGCAAACCGGAUUAGAUACCCGGGUAGUCCCAGCUGUAAACUAUGCAAACUCAGUGAUGCAUUGGCUUGUGGCCAAUGCAGUGCUGCAGGGAAGCCGUUAAGUUUGCCGCCUGGGAAGUACGUACGCAAGUAUGAAACUUAAAGGAAUUGGCGGGGGAGCACCACAAGGGGUGAAGCCUGCGGUUCAAUUGGAUUCAACGCCGGAA